Non-coding RNA from Pteropus alecto (black flying fox), 74 nucleotides. The record is from Rfam. Lineage: Eukaryota; Metazoa; Chordata; Mammalia; Chiroptera; Pteropodidae.
GGCUUCAUAGUGUAAUGGUUAGCUCGUCUGCUUUACAUGCAGAAGGUUCUGGGUUUGUGCCCCAGGUGGAGCCA